RNAcentral lists this non-coding RNA (46 nucleotides) under Trichobilharzia regenti. The record is from RNAcentral. Lineage: Eukaryota; Metazoa; Platyhelminthes; Trematoda; Strigeidida; Schistosomatidae.
GUACUGCUGAGGAGUCCCAAAAUGGAACGAAACAGCUGUCCAGUAC